GUAUAAUUAACUUUUUAUUUAUAACAUUCUAAAACAGAUUCAUAGGUUUGUGAAAAAGGACAUAGACCCUUGCAAGGGAAAAGCUGACUUCACAGCAGUCCCAACUCGGAAACAAAUCCAACCCCCCAAAGGUCUACAAUAUGUGCACAAGUUGGAGAGAUAAAGAUGACAAGCGUGCACAUACCCUAGGGGCCAGCAACAACCUGUUCAAGUUUAUUCGAUAAUGAUCCUUCCGCAGGUUCACCUACGGAAA
Molecule: unclassified non-coding RNA, 253 nt
Filed under: uncultured fungus
Lineage: Eukaryota; Fungi
Description: sequence contains ITS1
Source: RNAcentral